This 404-nucleotide long non-coding RNA is filed under the name Chrysemys picta bellii (western painted turtle). RNAcentral's name for it is "lncRNA (ENSCPBG00000015944.1)". The record is from RNAcentral. Lineage: Eukaryota; Metazoa; Chordata; Testudines; Emydidae.
AUUAACACGUUCCAGCAUAACUAUGUAUUUUUCCUUUAACAUUUGUUACUGAAGGAAACAAUAACAGAACAACUGGAGGUAAUUGAGUCCACCUAUGAAAAACUGCACCUACUUGUGAACAAGGACUGGAAACGCCUUCCUCAGAGUGCAGGAGAAAAGGCUCAUGAGAAGCUGAAGAGACUAAUUGACGAUGUAGGGAUUCUUUUAAAGGAGAAUAUAAAGGGCCCGAGGCAAAGGUUUGAAGAUCUCCCUUCUCAGACACAGCCACCUGAACCUGACUUGAAACACUUCCACCCUGGAAAGAAAAUUGCUGUGGAGACAGAGUUACAGGGACAUAAAGGUAACUGAAUGGGCCUGGUGUCUGUGCAUCAGGAUUUGGGGGUUACAGAGUUACCAGGCUAGAU